GGUGAACGCUGGCGGCGUGCCUAAGACAUGCAAGUCGAGCGGGCCGCGGGGUUUUACUCCGUGGUCAGCGGCGGACGGGUGAGUAACGCGUGGGUGACCUACCCGGAAGAGGGGGACAACCCGGGGAAACUCGGGCUAAUCCCCCAUGUGGACCCGCCCCUUGGGGUGUGUCCAAAGGGCUUUGCCCGCUUCCGGAUGGGCCCGCGUCCCAUCAGCUAGUUGGUGGGGUAAUGGCCCACCAAGGCGACGACGGGUAGCCGGCCUGAGAGGGUGGCCGGCCACAGGGGCACUGACACGGGCCCCACUCCUACGGGAGGCAGCAGUUAGGAAUCUUCCGCAAUGGGCGCAAGCCUGACGGAGCGACGCCGCUUGGAGGAAGAAGCCCUUCGGGGUGUAAACUCCUGAACCCGGGACGAAACCCCCGACGAGGGGACUGACGGUACCGGGGUAAUAGCGCCGGCCAACUCCGUG
This 471-nucleotide ribosomal RNA is filed under the name uncultured bacterium. Its description in RNAcentral is "partial 16S ribosomal RNA". It matches the Rfam family "Bacterial small subunit ribosomal RNA", at positions 28 to 507 of the family's 1533-position model. The record is from RNAcentral.